AUUGAACGCUGGCGGCAGGCCUAACACAUGCAAGUCGAGCGGAAACGAUGGGAGCUUGCUCCCAGGCGUCGAGCGGCGGACGGGUGAGUAAUGCAUGGGAAUCUGCCCGGUAGUGGGGGAUAACCUGGGGAAACUCAGGCUAAUACCGCAUACGUCCUACGGGAGAAAGCAGGGGAUCUUCGGACCUUGCGCUAUCGGAUGAGCCCAUGUCGGAUUAGCUUGUUGGUGGGGUAAUGGCUCACCAAGGCGACGAUCCGUAGCUGGUCUGAGAGGAUGAUCAGCCACAUCGGGACUGAGACACGGCCCGAACUCCUACGGGAGGCAGCAGUGGGGAAUAUUGGACAAUGGGCGAAAGCCUGAUCCAGCCAUGCCGCGUGUGUGAAGAAGGCCCUCGGGUUGUAAAGCACUUUCAGUGGGGAAGAACGCCUCGGGAUUAAUACCCCCGAGGAGAGACAUCACCCACAGAAGAAGCACCGGCUAACUCCGUGCCAGCAGCCGCGGUAAUACGGAGGGUGCGAGCGUUAAUCGGAAUUACUGGGCGUAAAGCGCGC
RNAcentral lists this ribosomal RNA (551 nucleotides) under Halomonas mongoliensis. RNAcentral's name for it is "bacterial SSU rRNA". It matches the Rfam family "Bacterial small subunit ribosomal RNA", at positions 28 to 570 of the family's 1533-position model. The record is from RNAcentral. Lineage: Bacteria; Pseudomonadati; Pseudomonadota; Gammaproteobacteria; Oceanospirillales; Halomonadaceae.